This 72-nucleotide transfer RNA is filed under the name Camelus bactrianus (Bactrian camel). It matches the Rfam family "tRNA". Rfam says of the family: Transfer RNA (tRNA) molecules are approximately 80 nucleotides in length. RNAcentral also lists the same sequence under 2 other names. Lineage: Eukaryota; Metazoa; Chordata; Mammalia; Artiodactyla; Camelidae. The record is from Rfam by way of RNAcentral.
GAGGGUAUAACUCAGUGGUAGAGCACGUGCUUAGCAUGCACAAGGUCCUAGAUUCAGUCCCCAGUACCUCCA